CCAUGCUCUGGAGAUCCUCUCAAUCAAACCCAGAAUAAUCUUCUCUCUCUCUCUGCCUUUCUUUAUAUAGCCCAACAAUUUCAGGGAUUUAAGUAUACAAUCAAGGCUUAUGUCAAGCAGCCAUUGAAGAUAGAAAUCAAGAAAAUUUGAGUGGUUGAAGCUUUGAAGGUGUUAUAGCAGCAACUAUGGAGGUUUCAAGAGUUUGCUUCUUAAUGUCUGUUUUUGCUAUUGUCUUGGCAUUGGCUAUUCCUUCCAUUAAUGCCCAGGCCCCUGCCCCUGCCCCCACAAGUGAUGGGGUGGCAAUUGAUCAAGGAAUAGCAUAUGCUCUGAUGCUGGUAGCUCUGGCGAUUACUUACAUGAUUCACUGAGAGAUAUAAAUAUAUAUAAUACAUGUGUUUGUACUGUGUAGGGUGGUUUGUAAUUGAUGGAGUAAUUGGGUAGCAGUAGACAUUUGAUUGUUAAUUUUAUUUCAAAAAUUCAUUUGCCUCUAUUAUUUAUUUCCUUUGUAUAAAAAAAAAAAACCAGCAAUUUCAGUUUCCAAUGUUCUAAUUUCGUUCUAUAUAGAAGUUUUUAUGUUCUUUA
Molecule: long non-coding RNA, 582 nt
Organism: Ipomoea nil (Japanese morning glory)
Lineage: Eukaryota; Viridiplantae; Streptophyta; Magnoliopsida; Solanales; Convolvulaceae
Exons: 2
Source: RefSeq, a predicted model, not a curated record